GGCGUCGACCGGCGCACGGGUGAGUAACGCGUAUCCAACCUGCCCACCACUUGGGGAUAACCUUGCGAAAGUAAGACUAAUACCCAAUGAYRUCUCUAGAAGACAUCUGAAAGAGAUUAAAGAUUUAUCGGUGAUGGAUGGGGAUGCGUCUGAUUAGCUUGUUGGCGGGGUAACGGCCCACCAAGGCAACGAUCAGUAGGGGUUCUGAGAGGAAGGUCCCCCACAUUGGAACUGAGACACGGUCCAAACUCCUACGGGAGGCAGCAGUGAGGAAUAUUGGUCAAUGGGCGAGAGCCUGAACCAGCCAAGUAGCGUGCAGGAHGACGGCCCUAUGGGUUGUAAACUGCUUUUAUAAGGGAAUAAAGUGGGAGUCGUGACUCYUUUUGCAUGUACCUUAUGAAUAAGGACCGGCUAAUUCCGUGCCAGCAGCCGCGGUAAUACGGAAGGUCCGGGCGUUAUCCGGAUUUAUUGGGUUUAAAGGGAGCGUAGGCCGGAGAUUAAGCGUGUUGUGAAAUGUAGRCGCUCAACGUCUGCACUGCAGCGCGAACUGGUUUCCUUGAGUACGCACAAAGUGGGCGGAAUUCGUGGUGUAGCGGUGAAAUGCUUAGAUAUCACGAAGAACUCCGAUU
This 629-nucleotide ribosomal RNA is filed under the name uncultured Bacteroidales bacterium. Its description in RNAcentral is "bacterial SSU rRNA". It matches the Rfam family "Bacterial small subunit ribosomal RNA", at positions 87 to 714 of the family's 1533-position model. Lineage: Bacteria; Pseudomonadati; Bacteroidota; Bacteroidia; Bacteroidales. The record is from RNAcentral.